Molecule: ribosomal RNA, 83 nt
Filed under: Pogona vitticeps (central bearded dragon)
Lineage: Eukaryota; Metazoa; Chordata; Lepidosauria; Squamata; Agamidae
Source: RNAcentral
AAUCUUACCCAAACUAAGCUAAGCAGGGAGAGGCCUGGUUAGGACCUGGAUGGGAGACCACCCGAGCAUAUCUGGUGGGAUUU